RNAcentral lists this ribosomal RNA (325 nucleotides) under uncultured eukaryote. RNAcentral describes it as "partial 18S ribosomal RNA". It matches the Rfam family "Eukaryotic small subunit ribosomal RNA", at positions 1470 to 1796 of the family's 1831-position model. The record is from RNAcentral.
CCCUUAGAUGUUCUGGGCCGCACGCGCGCUACACUGAUGCAUUCAACGAGCCUAUCCUUGACCGACAGGUCCGGGUAAUCUUUGAAUCUGCAUCGUGACGGGGAUAGAUUAUUGCAAUUAUUAAUCUUCAACGAGGAAUGCCUAGUAGGCGCAAGUCAUCAGCUUGCGUCGAUUACGUCCCUGCCCUUUGUACACACCGCCCGUCGCUCCUACCGAUUGGGUGUGCUGGUGAAAUGUUCGGAUCGGCCGUUUGUCGCGGUCUCCGCGUCAUGUGGCUGAGAAGUUCAUUAAACCCUCCCACCGAGAGGAAGGAGAAGUCGUAACA